Molecule: long non-coding RNA, 1534 nt
Organism: Dermochelys coriacea (leatherback sea turtle)
Lineage: Eukaryota; Metazoa; Chordata; Testudines; Dermochelyidae
Exons: 2
Source: RefSeq, a predicted model, not a curated record
UUAUGGAAAGGCCAGCACCCUCCGGACAUCCAGGGCAUAUAACCUGCGCUCCUCUUUGGAACUAUGGGGCUUUGGAAAGAAGACCACUAAGAAAAUGUCCUGGACAGCAUGAAACUGGGAAACUUCAUUGGGCGGGAACAACAGGUGUGGCCACAACUGGACAUUGUCCUUGUAGAACACCAUAUAGGGUGGUUCCAACGUAAGCGCCCUGAACUCAGACACUCUGUGGACAGAUGUAAUUGCCACCAAGAACACCACCUUCCAGGAGAAAAGGAGACUAGAACAGAAAGCAGGAGGCUCAAAUGGAGGUUCCAUAAGCCUCAACAGUAUGAGGUUCAAAUCCCAGGGAGGGACCAGAUCCCGGAAGUGUGGGUAAAGACACUCCAAACCUGUUAGGAAUUGGGCUGUCAUGUGGUGAGCGAAGAUCGACCUGCCUUGGAACGGAGGGUGGAAAGCUGAAAUAGCAGCCAGGUGGAUCCUGAUUGACAACAGUGACUAUCACAAGCCUUGGAGCUUGAGGUGCAGGAGAUAGUCCAGGCUCACCUGCAGGGAGGCCUGCUCGGCCAAGAUAUGUUGAUCCGAGGCCCAGCACGUAAACCGUUUCCACUUUGCCCAACAGGUCACUCUGAUGGAGGGCUUUCUGCUACCCAGCAGGACCGGUUUCAUUUGGGUUGAGCAUUCCCAGUCAUCCGCAUUUAGCCACACACAAGCCACACUCUCAAGUUCAGAACCUCCAGAUUCGGGUGCAGGAGACUGCUGUGAUUCUGAAACAGAAGGUCCGGCCAGAGAGGGAGUUGCACUGGCUAUGCUACCGAAAGGUCCAGCAGCGUGCCAAACCAGUGCUGGUGAGGCCACUUGGGGGCUAUCAGGAUAAACCUUGCCUUGUCCUGCUUGAUUUUCACUAGGACACUGUGGAUCAAUGGCACUGGUGGGAAGGCGUACAUCAGGGCCCCGACCAGGGAAGUAGGAAAGCAUCUGACUGCAAACUGCUGUCUAUCCCCUGAAGCGAACAGAACACACGGCAUUUCCUGUUCUGGCAGGUCGAGAACAAGUCCACCUGGGGAGUCCCCCACUUCUGGACUGACCACAUAAGUACAGGCAGGUGUGAGCCAUGGUGAGUGGGUAGCUCCUCACAUGGGAGAUCAGAUUCAACAUGGCCUGAAAACGCGCCUCUGGGAGGAAGGCUCUGGCUCACAUGGAGUAGAGAACCGCUCCAAUGAAUUCUGUGUUGGACCAGCCUAAAGGUGGAUUUUUUUCUCAUUUAUCAACAGGUCAAGGUCGUGGCAGGUGCAACACACCAGAUUGAGGCUUCUCUGCACUUGGUUACAGGACCUGCCCGGAUGAGCCAGUCGUCGAGGUAAGCAAGGUGGACCCCUUGGCAUCUGAGGCCCCUGGUGAGACUGUCAAGGCUUAGGUGGCAGGGACUGCCAGAACUGCCAAAUUAUUGGCCCAGCCCCUAAGGAAGGGACUCCUUGAACUUCUGGUUUGCCACCUGGAACUGCAAACUGGCUGUCAAAUAAAUCUUUCUUUCAAA